This is a long non-coding RNA of Ruditapes philippinarum (Manila clam), 2857 nucleotides long. RefSeq lists it as uncharacterized. Lineage: Eukaryota; Metazoa; Mollusca; Bivalvia; Venerida; Veneridae. The record is from RefSeq and is a predicted model, not a curated record. The transcript is spliced from 2 exons.
UACAUAUACUAGUUACUGACCUUGGGGUUUAACCGUUAAGAUUUCUAAAAAUAUCUAAAUCUGGAAAACACAAUGUAGAGCUACUUUGGAAAUUCUGUACUGCUAUAAAUAAAUAGCAAGAGUUAGCAUAUAUAAACGUGUGCGACAAAUGCAAUUUCAAACACACGAUGGAUCAUAUCACAGAGAAUAAACGUUCAUUUCUUCAUUUCUUCACACCAUCAUCAGCUAUACGCUUUGGCCAUAUUUCAUUAGAACUUUAUGAUGGCACUUAUAUCAGUUUUUGGCCAGAAAAGGGAACAACAAGUUGUCAAAUUUUAAACGAUAACAAGUGCCCAGCUAGAUGGUACAGCACUUUCGAAGAGGAAGUUCGGGGUAACAAAAUACCAAUUUCCUUGGCUGUGUUCGGACUUGAUAUAAACAACGUAAAAUUAUGGUUGGAGAAAUUUAAAUCAAGCGAUCCUAAAUAUGAUGUACGCGAACAAAACUGUGCGUCGGUUGUGUAUAAAGCACUCCGAGAAGGAUCGGAUUGGUUUGAAAAGAAUGUGAAAGACUGCAAGGGUAUCAAGACUCCGAUACAGAUUUUUGAGUACGUAAAAAAAGGUUACAAUACAAACACUAAAAUAGAUUGUGGAUAUAUGUGUACACAUUGCCUAUGUUUAACACCGUAUAAAAUCUUUGGUUUCUUUUUAUUCUACUUUAACAAUGCAUAUACGUUCUGCUCAAGUAAACUGAAGAAAGAUGUGGAGUGUAACAAGAGAGAUAAACAGAUAUGUGUCUUGUUCUGAAGAAGACUCUGUGACUGUCAGUACUAAUAAAGAUGUGCCAGCAGAAGAGAAACCAAUUCUGGAAGAUAUUGCAUACUCAGAGAGGAUUGUUGAUCUACGUUGCAAAAUGGAACCAAAAACUGUGUCCCUUUCGAAAAAAACAUUCAUAUCUAUGUCAGAAUCAAAAGAGAAUUUGGAUAUUUGUUUUGUAGCAGAGGAUUUUGCAGAGGAUGCUUCUGUAAUAGAUCUUGGCAUUAAAUUUAGAAAAACAACUGUACGCCAGGAACAAGACAUUGGGUGUUAGACUUAAGACUUUUACAAUGGGGGUAUAUUUAAUAUGUAAAAACACUUUUCCAUGAAUAGAUCAACUUUUUAAACCUGACAAGGAAUUACAGAGGCGAGGAUUAUUAUGUUUGACGUUACAGUUCAUUGACAGAGAUUUUAUUCAUUUCGGACACAUAGAUGCAAUGUUUCAAUGACCUUGGCAUACAAGCUGUAGAAAUAAAAUCUAUUGAACUUCCAAUGAAAACCAAAUUCUAAAGAAGAAUAAUGCCAGUUUUGAUGUCUGAGACACGCCCGACAAAUGAUGAUACUGAUAGUGUACGGAAUUUAGACCAUUUUCGGAACGGGAGCAGAAAAAAAUUGGCAUCAAUAAUAUUGAUAUCAUUGGUUGUUCAACAUCUGUAUGUGUUAUGUUGAUAUAAACACCAAUUAACUGUGAUUAUCAGCUUGUUGACUGUGAUACGAACAAAACAACACAAUGAACUGUGUUAUAAUGAUAAACAGCAAGUUAACUGUGAUACAAAGAAUAUAACCAAUGAACUGUGUUAUAAUGAUAAACAGACAGUUUGCUGUGAUACAAAGAAUAUAACCAAUGAACUGUGUGAUAAUGAUAAACAGCAAGUUAACUGUGAUACAAAGAAUAUAACCAAUGAACUGUGUUAUAAUGAUAAACAGACAGUUUGCUGUGAUACAAAGAAAAUAACCAAUGAACUGUGUUAUAAUGAUAAACAGACAGUUUGCUGUGACACAAAAAAUAAAACAAAAACUACAAUGAACUAUGUAAAUUUAUAGAUCAACAACCAGGAGACUGUAGUACAAAAAAGUUGAAAACCAUUGAACUGUGAAAAAACCCAAUGAACUGUGAUACAUAAACCAAAUGACUGUGAUAUAAAAAGCAACUAACUGCGAUAUGAAUACCAAUUUGUUAGUUUGUUUGGUUUUACGCCAAAGAGACAUAAUGGUCAUGACAUGGAGGCCGGCCCAUCUUACCGGUUUUCCUGGAAACCAAUUAACUAUAACUAACCAAAAAUUACCAAUUUUUAUGCAAAGGAACCUGUUAACUAUGAGCAUACUCACCCGCUCUUAGUGUUUGUGUUUUCACAAAUAUUUGGUUCAUAACCUUUUUCAGUAAAAAGUAUGAAGAGUGAAAAUCUGUAGCAGUAUGAUUAUAAUGGGCAUUUGAGAUUACAAACUUUUGUUUUCUAUUUAAAGAUUUUCAUGAAUAGAAAGUUUUAUGUGGCUGCAGUGAUAAAUGGCAAAACUUAUUUAAACUGUGAAUAUAAAUAAACUGUAAAUAUUUAUAAAGAAUGUAAAUAUUUAAAAUCAAUAAAUUAAAUUGUAAAUAUUAUAUGAUAAAAUUUGUACAAUACUCAUGAAUUAUAUGAUGAAGAAAUCUGUAUAUAUGACAAAAAGACAACCACAAAAAUUUAUUUACCAUUUGAUAAUCACACUUUUAAAGCAUUGACUGCAUUGUUUUACAUUUUUUUUUACAUUUGUAUAUUGUGACUUUUUUUUAGUAUAGGGUAUUGCAUCUAGAUGUAAAAUUAGAUUAACUUUGUACAUGAUUGUGUUCUUUAUGUGGCAUUUACUUGUUAAGAUUUUUAUGAUUUGCAUUUAUUUACUGUUUUAUUGUUGAACUUCUUUGAUAUUUAAUAAUUAUUGUUCUUUUAUAAAUAUAUAUACAUGUAUUGCUUUUGAUACUAUAUUUUUUCAUCUGUUACCUUUACAAUAUGUUGUAUUUGCUUUUGAUACUUCCGUUAUAUACAUGUUUUGUUUCAUUUAAAAGAUAAAUAAAAAUAUUUAAAACAAUU